GACGAACGCUGGCGGCGUGCCUAAUACAUGCAAGUAGAACGCUGAAGAGAGGAGCUUGCUCUUCUUGGAUGAGUUGCGAACGGGUGAGUAACGCGUAGGUAACCUGCCUGGUAGCGGGGGAUAACUAUUGGAAACGAUAGCUAAUACCGCAUAAAAUGGAUUAUCGCAUGAUAAUCCAUUGAAAGGUGCAAAUGCAUCACUACCAGAUGGACCUGCGUUGUAUUAGCUAGUUGGUGGGGUAACGGCUCACCAAGGCGACGAUACAUAGCCGACCUGAGAGGGUGAUCGGCCACACUGGGACUGAGACACGGCCCAGACUCCUACGGGAGGCAGCAGUAGGGAAUCUUCGGCAAUGGACGGAAGUCUGACCGAGCAACGCCGCGUGAGUGAAGAAGGUUUUCGGAUCGUAAAGCUCUGUUGUAAGAGAAGAACGAGUGUGAGAGUGGAAAGUUCACACUGUGACGGUUCUUACCAGAAAGG
RNAcentral lists this ribosomal RNA (480 nucleotides) under Streptococcus sp. oral taxon 071. RNAcentral's name for it is "bacterial SSU rRNA". It matches the Rfam family "Bacterial small subunit ribosomal RNA", at positions 28 to 491 of the family's 1533-position model. Lineage: Bacteria; Bacillati; Bacillota; Bacilli; Lactobacillales; Streptococcaceae. The record is from RNAcentral.